AAUGACAUGCCUGAUUUAAAAGGGUUAUUUUGAUAGAAUAAAUUAUGCAUGUACUUGCAUGCUUUCAUUA
Molecule: transfer RNA, 70 nt
Filed under: Pheidole flavigaster
Lineage: Eukaryota; Metazoa; Arthropoda; Insecta; Hymenoptera; Formicidae
Description: tRNA-Ile
Source: RNAcentral